Long non-coding RNA from Mya arenaria, 1594 nucleotides. RefSeq lists it as uncharacterized. Lineage: Eukaryota; Metazoa; Mollusca; Bivalvia; Myida; Myidae. The record is from RefSeq and is a predicted model, not a curated record. The transcript has 5 exons.
GUUUUGACUGACAUCUUUUUACUUUCGUUUUCGUCUAUUGAUUUAAAAACUUUACAACGAUACAUUGGCGUUGCCUGGCGUCGGUUGGCGUAUGGAUUCAUUGAGUGGUUCGUGCAAACAGAAAUAGGAGACAUGUCCUUGACAUUCUUUGCAAAAGGGACCUAAUACAGCACAGACAGCAAUAGUAUAGCACAAUGACCCACAGUGAAGUUGACAGUGAGAUAGCCUGCGUGUGGGGCGCGGUUGGGAAAAAUCACCAAUUAAUGGGGCCAAAGCCUUAGACUUCGAGCCAUCAGGAGCCAAAAGUGCAUCGACCAUUCAUUGACUUCUUGUUUAGACGACCUAUUGUAACUCUACUGAGUGCAUUUCUAUGGUCAAGUGGAUAUUAUACCGCAAUGCAAACAAUUGCAGAUGCACUAACGUAAAGUAAUAAUUCUUAAACGGAAACACCACGUCUUAAACAGGAAGGCGAUGAUGAGAAUAUUAUACGACUUUCUGAAGAUUCAUGAGAGCUUGACAGUGAGAUAGCCUGCGUGAUGGUUGGCGCUUGGGAAAAAUCACCCAAUUAUAGACGCCCAUCAGGAGCCCAAAGUGCAUCACCAUUCAUUGACUUCUUGUUUAGACGACUUAUUGUUAGUCCUCGUAGUGCAUUUUUAAGGGAAAAUUCAAACAACUGCAGAUUCACUAAGUAAUAAUUCUUAAACUGAAACACCACGUCUUAAAGAAGAAGACGAUGAUGGAAAUAUUUUACGACUUUCGAAGAUUCAUCAGGGCGUGAGUGAAAGUUGUUUUUAUUUUUACUUUUGUCCUUGUUAGAUAGUUAAUAUGCUUAAUUAUAUACAAUGCAACGAUAAGGAAACACACACACACAAUUUAAAUCAAAAUAUUUAUUUUCCUAGGAUGUUUUUUCAUUCAUUGGUCUUUAUUUGGAUCUCAUUGCAAAUAUGUUCUUUUGCACAAUGAAUAAAGUCAAUGACGUAUGACCAUAUAGCACUGAAUCAAACAAUUAUUUCUAAUAACAACCCAAUAUAAAUUGAAAACUAUUGUAAAUGCAAAAUGACACCUUGUCCUUCGAACAUUUUGCGAAGAGAUAACUGAUUGUGCUGGUAUAUUAUAAUUAUUGUUUAAAUGCGCCUAAAGAUUUUCAAAGAAGUUUUUGCCUUUCAUGUUAUAUUUUAAUAAGAAGUCAAAUUGUUGCAUAUCUAUGUUACCUGGAAAGUAAAGAAAUAGCCACACAACCCCUAUUUGCUGCAUUCUGCAUUCUGCAGCAACUUUUGUACUUGUUGACAUAUAUUUUCCAAAUAAUUUAGUUUUAUUUGUUACAUACAUUACGUUACUGAUGAUUGUUAACAUAUUUUCAGUCCUUUCAUAAACACAAUAUAUAUAUAAAUAUAUAUACAUACAUGUACAUGUGAAGUGCACUCAUUUUAGUUAACAAUGCUUCAUUAAAGCAGUAUCAAUGAACUUCUACGUAUGCUUACCGUUCUGAUAGUCUAAGUGGUAACUCCAGUAGCAAUACAUGUAACAAACACACUGAUGUAGUAAAACACUGAACGGGAGAGACAGACCAGACUAUUGGAAAUAAAUUUGCUUG